GUGGAAUUUCUCAGUUGAAAGCAAAUGUAACAAGGUCCAAAAUAAUUGGAAAAUACACAACUACAUAAGCAAGAAUAGUCUCAUUGACGGACAGACAAGUGUUCCCGAGCAGAGGGCAGGGACGUCUGAGACGGCUUACUAUGCAGAAAUAGGAUCAUGAAGGUUCAUCGGAUGAAAGGUGAACACCCUGUUUCCCCGCUCUGUUACAGUGGCGUUGCGUCAGGAAGUCGUUCGUAUCAGUGAAGUCACUAUCACCACCCACCCCCAGAGUCUUUGCGCGCGCUUACGAGCCUUCAGACAAUUUCUAAAGUCACUGCCAGUCUUCUUCCUUCCACUGUUCAUCAUUUUGACCUCAGAGCGCAGACAGGAUUCUUGAUGACACGAAGGCCGAGUGAAGAGACAGCGUGUACCUGCAAAAGGGAAGUGAGUUUCAGAGGCCGAGAUGAAACUAUGGAGGCACGUCUGCUUAACGUGACCGUGUUUAAAUCCAAAGCAUCUAUCGGGACCAGAGAGGAGACUUUGGGUGAGGCCUGUCUCUUCUACAGCUUCCUGUGUCCACUGCAGAAGUAGGUCAACAGAGACGGCUGGUUGAUGAGUUGGAACAGGGAAAAAAAGGAGGGGAAAAAGUUCAUGCCUUAAUCCGUUGAGGGGAUAAUUAGAGACAGUUUCAUAUGUAACUUUAAAGAGUCUUUUUCCCCUUUUUUGUUGAAGAACAGUAGAGAUCUUGAGCUUCUCCAAUGACACUUUAUGGACUAAACAUUUCUGCUUAAGUUACAAGCGUGUCAUUCAGAGAUAUUCAGUUUGCAGCUGCAGCAAGUUACAGUACAGUAAGCACCAAUAAAGCCUCCACCUUCUGAAUUGUUGGACUCAUUCAGGGUUUUUGUGCUUCACAAAACAGAACCUAAAGCUUGUUAUGUAGUAUUACUUUUACACUGAUAAAGAAGAUCUAUCACCAUGUAAAACGCCUGAAGCAAUCUCUGCCUUUUUACAUAUGAGAGUUCAGAAAAAAAACUUUAACGCAUUAUUGCAAAAACGUUAUUAACAGGUUUACAUUCUGAUAAUUUAGAAAUUUUAUUUUGUUAAAGGCUUGUUUGCAAAAAAAAAAACCAAAACGCAUAUUUUUUUAUAUAUUCCUAAAGAUCCUUUUAAAACCAUAGGACACAUAAAAACUAUUCAAAUACGGGUGCUGUUAUAUUGAUUCUUAUGUAAAUUCAUGAUCACUUAUGCUGGUUUAAUAAGAAUGUCUUCUCUCCUGUAAAUAAGACAGAUAGCAGAACCUGAAACAAGUUGACAGGAAGUCAAACAUGCAUAGAACCUCAAUACUCAUUGACUUUGCACAAAAGAUGCCAUAUAUACAGAGUUUGAGUCCCUGGGGACACCAGGUUUGUUCUGUGAACAUUUUUUGUCCUGCCCUGCUUUGUCAAGCAACACAAUAGUAAUCAACAGGUAACCUUGUGACCCAAGCCAAACAAUUUUCAGAGAAAAUGUUGACUCAAUGACUUACGCCAGGGCCUCCUUUCUGUACAUCUACAAAAGGUUCACCUUAAUUUAUGUGAAAGACAUCACACAGUUUGAGUAAACAUAGUUUUUCUCUUUCUUUUUCCUGCGAUUUUGACAACGUCCCCGGGUCUCAGGCUGCUAAAUGACCACUAAAACCCCCCCGCUCCAUCUUUUUAAGCACUCAAAACUAAAAUGACAUGAAAGUUUUCACUUGUAAAUCUAAGUUUUCAUCUUUUUGGACUGCAUCACUGUAUGCUUUUUACAGUCAGCAACAUACAGCAACCAUUUUAAUCCCAUAUGCAUUUAGAUAUACAAGCAUUUCUUAGACCCCUAUCUCAAUAGCAUGAUCCAAAUGUUCCUUGUAUAUAACUUGGUCCAUGUUUUCUGGCCUGUAGUUAAUCAGCAUUCCACUAGGGGCAGUAGAAAGGCUUUUCCUACUCAUUUCAAAAUGGCUGCUUCGGUGAAAUCUCCAAAACACAUUUGGUGGGAAAAUUUAGCUUAUUUUCCAAACUCUAUGGUGAAAAUAACUCAUCAAAUGGUAUACAUAUUUUAAAUGACAACUUGCUGCAUUAAAAUCAAACAAUAUCUGUUGAUAAUUAACUCAAUAUACAAGUAAAUUAUGUUAAAAAAGUGUGGAUCAAAUUUGAGACUGCAGGUAAAUAAGGUGAUAAUAUUUUUUCGUCUUAAACUAACAUUUUAGUGAGCAAAAACUUAAGAAAUCGCCAAAUGUUUAAUCAGUGAUGCUGUCUGUGUCUAAUAGAAAAUGGCAUUGACAUCUGUUUUCAUCAAAGGGUUUAAUAAACACUCCUAAUUCCGUAAAAAAUAAAAUUCUGUCUGUUCUUUGAUCUACUGGGCUUGACAGUGUUAUUACUGAAUGAAUUCAUUACUAAUGUUUGCAAAAAUAGAAUUCACUUUAUUGCUCUAUAGUUAAUUUUUGAACAUCAUCAAAUUUCUUCUGUGAUUUUUAAUAAUUUUUUUUAUCCCUCCAUCUUUUUUCCACACAUACAUUCUCCCAAGCAGGAUUCUGCUGGAGUCCGUCUUCAGGUAAAGGCAGGGCAGACAGGAAUCAGCUGUCACAAAUGAAUUCUACAGGGUUAAAAACAGUAAAAGAAAUUGUAAUAAAAAUCAUUCCUGGCGGAUAUUGUUCCUGUUAUUUCUUUAGACAAGAGUAACUUUAAAAAACUCUUGCAGCUGAAUUUGUCUUUAUGUUCCAAACCUGCAGAGAAAGAUAAAGGCACAGAGGGAAAAAUCAAGGAAGUGGCCAAACAUGUCAUCUGGUGCAAAGCUUCAACUCCUGCCUCGUAAGUGAGGCCUGUGACUAAGAUCGGAAAAGAGGAGGAGUGUGCCGGCGUUGCCAAACCAAUGCUGCAGAGACGAGAACAAAGUUUUGCUCCUCAGAGAAAAGGUGAUGCUCGCCUCGGACCCGCCAUGCCAGAUGAUUGGCCAGACCGCCUUGCUUGGCAAGAACUAGCAGAGACCCGGGUCGAGUGGAUGGAGAGUGGUGGAUGUACAGAAGAGGGAGGCGGCGUGGUGUUUGGAGCUGGUCUGGUGUGGAAGCGUAGAGAGGACUCUUCCCAACGUUCAACGUGUGAGACUUGGAAUUCUCUCCUGGAUCAGUGCUUAGAUUUUGGAAAGAAGAGGAAUCAACACAUGAUCACUAUCAGCCUGUGUGUUUGCGUGGUGGUUUGCUGUGUGGUCUCCAGGUAAAAAGGUUCACAACUCAUUGUUGGCUUUUUUUGUAUCUGAUGAUGCUAAGUUGUGUGUGUUCUCUGAAGCGAGGUGACCCAUUCGCUUGUGCAGGUUCCAAUUCCACCUUUCCUUUGAACAGGUUAAGUCAAAUACAGGAAGUAUGAUCUUACCCAGCAAGUGUUAUGAGCAGGAUCAGAUCCCCAAAUGAAUGACUCAAAUCUAGACAAGCUGUAACCAUUUCCUUAAAAGUUUAGCAGUCAGAAUGAUCCUGUGAGAGGUCAGGCUACAACAUCAUAAACCUGUGAGAACUGACGAGAAACCCAAUUUAUUACAUCUCAUUUUUUUAAAAUCUUUGUCCUCCCUAGUAUGUGAUCCCCACUCUGUGUAAAUCAUGUAGCUGUGGGUAUAAGGAUGCAGAAGUGGCACAAGCUCAUCUAAUACCUCCAACUUUCUGAUUUAUUUCCUUUAGAACUGGUGGAGUUCCAUGAUUUAAAUAAAAAUUACAUUUUAAAUACAUCAUAAAUGAGACAUUUUCAACCAGUCAGCUAAAUGUAGUGUUGUCUAUUUCUAUUUUCCCUUUUUAUUCUCAGUACUGUCUAUUUGUUAUGAGCAAUUAUGCUGUUUGGAGGAAUCAUGUACUUGUUUGGUCUGCUAGAGGCUAACCACAGCAGCUACUUCUUUCUUCUCUGGUUUCCAACAUCUGUGAGACUUUAGAAAUAAAGAUUGUAUUUAAACCGAUCUCUUUAAAAAAAAAAGUUUUAAUUCUGUUUUCCCUUUAACUUGUAACUUAACUUGUAACUCAUCUUAGAUAUUUGGUUGUUCAAAAGUCCAAAAGUGUUUUUCUCUUUUUGCAUGUCACGUUUACAAACUGCAUAAACUAGGAAGAAAUGAUGAUAAAAGAGUAGAACCAGAGAUUAAAGACACAUGAAUGAUUGAAACUGAUUUCAUUUGAUGAAAUCUCACUUCCAAAUGAACCGAUACAAGGAUCAAAAGAGUAAAGGUUUUUUUUUUUUUUGGUCCAGCGCGGAGGAGGAGAGGUUGACUUGUAAUGAUUCAUUUUCCUUAAUGCUUUCCAUCGAACUCUUUAGCAAUCCAGCAAUCCAAACUUUUAGUAAUGACCAAUUUUUCACUUUUCACACAAGUCUGUGGAAGAGCCACUCCAACACUGAAUCAUGUCUGAGUUUUAUUGAGCCGAGUUGGCGCUGCAAGAAACCGUGAUGUCAUCCUGUACAGUAUGGGGAUCAGCAAGUUGCUUGAACCAGCAGCAGUGGGCAAAAGCAUCAAGAGCAGUAGCACUAAAAUCAUUAUGGCAGUGAGUUAAAGCCGCAGCAUUUCUGAUGUGUUUUUUCUUCUAUCGAGGGGACAUUAGUGAGAGCUUUGGAGACUGUGCGCCUGUAAAAGCGGCUCCAAAAUUACACGUUGGAAGUUUCCAGAUAUUGAAGCGUGGUUGGGGCUUUUUAAUGUGGCGAUGCUUAAUAGUGGUUUUACAGUCUGCCAAUGAAAUCUGUUGUUUUCACCAUGGGACCCCAACAUGGCAUCAUAAUCAUGACCAGUUUAAGGCAGUAAAAUACAGGUUUUAAUGUGUUUUCUGAGUAGGUGAUUUAAUAAAACUCCUGCAGCUUCU
This is a non-coding RNA of Oryzias latipes (Japanese medaka), 4813 nucleotides long. The record is from RefSeq and is a predicted model, not a curated record. NCBI's taxonomy places the organism in Eukaryota, Metazoa, Chordata, Actinopteri, Beloniformes, Adrianichthyidae.